CAUCUACAUCGUGUUUCCUUUACAUUAAUUGCCUUUCCCAAUGAACACGAAUUAUAAUGAAGUAUGAAACCGAAGUUGGUACAAUAAUUAAAAGAGUCAAUAUAUAACGUUUUUGUUCCGAAAAAGUUUAAACUUAACAUACAGAAGGAACCUGAAGAACAAUCCAAACUUCCAGUUCAGAAAAUAAAAAAGUGCCAUACCAAUCAAAAUGGCUGCCGUUCAGUUUUUGUGUCUGAUCCUGGUAAUAUUUGUAACAUCAUCGCUUUCAUUGGAUGAAAACGGUGACAUAGCAACAACACAAGAAACAAUACAAGAAAAUGGCGCAGUUACAGCGACAGGUAUUCCAGCAGUUGACCUUCAUGAAAGCAUUUGUGAGAGAAAAACAAUAUGUCAGGAAAUUUGUCUGAGUGAUCAUUCUGGAUGUCAAAAAUUCUGCUUUCCUGGACCAAAAAUAAAUUGCCAAUCGAAGCUUGGCUAACUAAUGUACUUUGUGAUAUACAUGUCAUAAAAUUUAAGAGUACAGUCUAA
Molecule: long non-coding RNA, 528 nt
Organism: Hydractinia symbiolongicarpus
Lineage: Eukaryota; Metazoa; Cnidaria; Hydrozoa; Anthoathecata; Hydractiniidae
Exons: 2
Source: RefSeq, a predicted model, not a curated record